This 253-nucleotide ribosomal RNA is filed under the name uncultured bacterium. RNAcentral's name for it is "partial 16S ribosomal RNA". It matches the Rfam family "Bacterial small subunit ribosomal RNA", at positions 524 to 776 of the family's 1533-position model. The record is from RNAcentral.
UACGGGGGGGGCAAGCGUUGUUCGGAAUUACUGGGCGUAAAGGGCUCGUAGGCGGCCAACUAAGUCAGACGUGAAAUCCCUCGGCUUAACCGGGGAACUGCGUCUGAUACUGGAUGGCUUGAGAUUGGGAGAGGGAUGCGGAAUUCCAGGUGUAGCGGUGAAAUGCGUAGAUAUCGGGAGGAACACCAGCGGCGAAGGCGGCUUUCUGGACCAAUACUGACGCUGAGACGCGAAAGCGUGGGGAGCAAACAGG